Non-coding RNA from Pelobates cultripes (western spadefoot toad), 234 nucleotides. NCBI's taxonomy places the organism in Eukaryota, Metazoa, Chordata, Amphibia, Anura, Pelobatidae. The record is from the annotation of a GenBank genome assembly.
GGGUAAUUCAAAAGGCAUAUUUUGAACCUUAGCGUGGGAUCAUUUUUCCGCUAGCUUGUACCAAGUAUAGUGGUAAUGAGCAUUUUUUUUUAAUAUAUUUUUUUACUUUGUAAAACCCGUUUUUAAACUUUUUUACUUCUUAAAUGUUUUACACUUUCUUAACUUUUUUUACACUUUUUUAAAUUUUUCUCUAAACUUUUCUUUUACCGUUAACCCCUAACUAGCAGUAAGCAG